GACGAACGCUGGCGGCGUGCUUAACACAUGCAAGUCGAACGAAGAGCGAUGGAAGCUUGCUUCUAUCAAUCUUAGUGGCGAACGGGUGAGUAACGCGUAAUCAACCUGCCCUUCAGAGGGGGACAACAGUUGGAAACGACUGCUAAUACCGCAUACGAUCUAACCUCGGCAUCGAGGAUGGAUGAAAGGUGGCCUCUAUUUAUAAGCUAUCACUGAAGGAGGGGAUUGCGUCUGAUUAGCUAGUUGGAGGGGUAACGGCCCACCAAGGCGAUGAUCAGUAGCCGGUCUGAGAGGAUGGACGGCCACAUUGGGACUGAGACACGGCCCAGACUCCUACGGGAGGCAGCAGUGGGGAAUCUUCCGCAAUGGACGAAAGUCUGACGGAGCAACGCCGCGUGAGGGAUGACGGCCUUCGGGUUGUAAAGCUCGGUUAAUCGGGACGAAAGGCCUUCUUGCGAAUAGUUAGAAGGAUUGACGGUACCGGAAUAGAAAGCCACGGCUAACUACGUG
Molecule: ribosomal RNA, 510 nt
Filed under: uncultured bacterium
Lineage: Bacteria
Description: partial 16S ribosomal RNA
Rfam family: Bacterial small subunit ribosomal RNA
Source: RNAcentral